GCGGCGUGCUUACACAUGCAAGUCGAACGAACCUUCGGGUUAGUGGCGGACGGGUGAGUAACGCGUGAGAAUCUGCCCUCAGGAGGGGGACAACAGCUGGAAACGGCUGCUAAUACCCCAUAUGCCGCGAGGUGAAAUGAAUUUCGCCUGAGGAUGAGCUCGCGUCUGAUUAGCUAGUUGGUGUAGGUAAUGGCUCACCAAGGCAUCGAUCAGUAGCUGGUCUGAGAGGAUGAUCAGCCACACUGGGACUGAGACACGGCCCAGACUCCUACGGGAGGCAGCAGUGGGGAAUUUUCCGCAAUGGGCGAAAGCCUGACGGAGCAACGCCGCGUGAGGGAUGAAGGCCUCUGGGCUGUAAACCUCUUUUAUCAAGGAAGAAGAUCUGACGGUACUUGAUGAAUAAGCCACGGCUAAUUCCGUGCCAGCAGCCGCGGUAAUACGGGAGUGGCAAGCGUUAUCCGGAAUUAUUGGGCGUAAAGCGUCCGCAGGCGGCCCUUCAAGUCUGCUGUUAAAAAGUGGAGCUUAACUCCAUCAUGGCAGUGGAAACUGUUGGGCU
Molecule: ribosomal RNA, 556 nt
Filed under: uncultured bacterium
Lineage: Bacteria
Description: bacterial SSU rRNA
Rfam family: Bacterial small subunit ribosomal RNA
Source: RNAcentral